GAUGAAGAACGUAGCGAAAUGCGAUAAGUAGUGUGAAUUGCAGAAUUCAGUGAAUCAUCGAAUCUUUGAACGCACAUUGCGCCCGCCAGUAUUCUGGCGGGCAUGCCUGUUCGAGCGUCAUUUCAACCCUCAAGCACAGCUUGGUGUUGGGACUCGCGUUAAUUCGCGUUCCCCAAAUUGAUUGGCGGUCACGUCGAGCUUCCAUAGCGUAGUAGUAAAACCCUCGUUACUGGUAAUCGUCGCGGCCACGCCGUUAAACCCCAACUUCUGAAUGUUGACCUCGGAUCAGGUAGGAAUACCCGCUGAACUUAAGCAUAUCAAUAAGCGAGGA
This 331-nucleotide unclassified non-coding RNA is filed under the name soil metagenome. RNAcentral describes it as "partial contains 5.8S ribosomal RNA, internal transcribed spacer 2, and large subunit ribosomal RNA". The stretch from base 1 to 120 matches the Rfam family "5.8S ribosomal RNA", at positions 35 to 154 of the family's 154-position model. The record is from RNAcentral.